This 3244-nucleotide long non-coding RNA is filed under the name Homo sapiens (human). RNAcentral's name for it is "non-protein coding LIFR-AS1:9". The record is from RNAcentral. Lineage: Eukaryota; Metazoa; Chordata; Mammalia; Primates; Hominidae.
GGGUGCUCCAAGGAGUCGGAGGAACGCGGCCGCGCGACGGGCCCCGGACGCCGAGGGUGGUGCUUCCUCCGAGCCUCCGGUGGUGAGGCCGCUCUCAGAAGGUCAUGGAAGCGCAGGGGAGAGCGAGGCGGCCGAGCCCAGGCAAAUCCUCGAGAAAGGCCGAGUGCGCGACGGCUCUGCGGGGAGGACCGCGCCUCCCCGAAUGCGGCCGCUGCUGCCGCUGCAAACAGUGCCUUGAGGAGAGGAAAGCGGGGAACCGUGUUUUCGCCGCCUCUGUAACCACUGCACACAAGAAAACCAGCUUCUGGGAGAGGGGGAUGAUUGUUGGGACUUUGCGAAUUACCUAAACAGCCCAGGGCCGAGGCGCCGCCGCUCGCGUCCUGGUCCUCCUGCCGGGUGUGGGGCUCCCCUGCCCGAGAUGGCCAGCGGGCGCGCCGAGAGUAUCCUGGAGCCAUCUAGUCUUGCCUCGGAGGCGGGGUGGGCUUAUUUGUGCGGAGAAGAAACGGAUCUCUUAAUGGGGUGAGAUUUUUCCUCCGUACAUUGUUCCCAUUUCCGCAGUUUCACUUGGCCUCGGUUUUCUAGCAGAGUAAUCACCAAAUGAAAUUAGCUGGAGAGCGUUUGAUGGCGCAGAAUCACGGUCUGAAGAUGUUUACGCUGUAUGCCGGACGCGUUUGAUGGUGUUCUCUUCGGCACAAUUAAUUUUGCAAAGUUCAGAAAUGUGCCAGACAGAGCCCCUGGCACGCAGUCAGGACUCUACAGACACACCUUGAGUAGGAAACAGGCUUGUUUGUUUCAUCUGUGAUUUAUGUGAUGCACCAGCACCAAGGCCAACGUGUUUUUUAAAGACCUUUCGAUGAAACUCCAAAGCAAUUUAUAAAUUGGCAAAAUGAAGCUUGUUUUGUAAAAUAACUCUUCCUUGUUGAUCAUGUAAUUAAAUGGGCAACAAAACACCUGAAAGGACAUUUACUGAAAAGUAGACUCCCAAAACAAAAAUAUGUAUUUCACAGCUAGAUACGGUCGCUAUUAGCGUCCUAAUGGCCAACUCCAUCCAUGUGCGUAUUUUGAACACUAAAAACGCCUCCUGUUACCCCUAAGACCUUGUUUGGAUAACAUUUUUCUAUUAUAAGUACUCGAAACCAACCCCAUUUAAGAUGUUUACCCUUAUUCUUGAGUCCUUGAUGGUUUGGGAAAUUUAUCAUUAUUCAUAUUGCACAAUCCUGUCACUGUCUUUUCCAUUAGGCACAGUGCCUAAGGUCCACAAUAUUUUUAGAGGCCCACAAAAAAUAUUUUAAUUUCUUUUCAAAUCAGAAGGAAAAAAAAUUUAGGUUUAAGAAAGUAUUUUAAUAUAUAUUAAUAUAUUUGUUUUUGUGCUAAUACAAUCUUAAAAUGUAUGUAUAUAUGUGUGUGUGUAUAUGUAUAUAUAUUUUAAUGGAGUAAGGGGCUCAACGAAGGCAAAAAGGCCUAGAGCCCAAGAAAAACAUGAUGUGGCCCUGUUGCCUGGGGUUGAAAAAUCCCAUUCCAUGAGAAGAAUUUAGUUUUAAGAAUAUUACAUAAAAUGCUCAUUUCUGUGGCCUUGCUAUAAUAGAAAGAUGGAGAUUCAGAGUAGUGAUAAUGGCUAACAUCCACCUGAUACACACCAUGUGUCCAUUACCUCUUAAUCCUCACAGCACACCUGUGAAAUAGGUACUAUUCUCACACUUAGGGGGUAAUGCAGGUUUUGUGGGGCCUGCAAUUUAUGCAAUUUGGGUGGUCCUCUUAAAGAAAAAGCAAAUACUGUGUAUUAGUCCGUUCUCACACUGCUAUAAAGAACUGCGCGAGACUGGGUAAUUUAUAAAGGAAAGAGGUUUAAUUGACUCACAGUUCCACAUGGCUGGGGAGACCUCAGGAAACUUAACAAUCGUGGUGGAAGGAGAAGCAAGUACCUUCUUCACAAGGAAGCGGAAAGAAUUGUGAGCGGAGGAACUUGCCAAACACAAAACCGUCAGAUCGCGUGAGAAUUCAGUUACUAUCACGAGAACAACACGGGAAAACUGUCCCCAUAAUCAAGUCAUUUCUCUCCCUAACAAGUGAGGAUUACAAUUCAAGAUGAGGUUUGGGUAGGAACACAAAGCCUGACCCUAUCCCACAGCAUGUCCAGGCUGCCCUAGCACCACCCAAUAGAAGGGAAAAUGGCAGAGGGAAAGUCCUAGUGGAAAGAGACCUCAGUCUCAGCUAAUUGUGGUGACAAUAUAUUGCUUUUGCAAAUUGUACAUAAACAUAUGACCAGGUGAAUGUAUCGCCAAGGCUCCUGCCAAGGCCUGGGAUGGAGGCCUAGAGAAGAUGCCCGAAAGUUUAUGCUGUGUGAGCUUCACAGAAGACCUGCCUUCCAUGUAUACCCAUUUUACAGGUAAGAAAUUUAGGGAUUUGCCACAGCUUCUAAGGAACACCACAUUCCUUACACCAUACUGAGGUACAAUUUGAAGAGUUGCGGUAUACGCACUGUUUCGUGAGGAAAAACGGAGUUUCUGUAACAAAGCAAGAGCUUUAAAAAUAUGUUAGCAAUAUUUGACCAGGCCAUAACCCAGCUUGGGGCACCUGACUGCUGUCUGUGCUGUCAAGAAUAAAUUUUUCUUAUCUGUUGUAUAAAAAUCUGAAUUAAUCCAUAUGGACUCCUGAAGGAAUUUCAGCUCAAUUUCAAGUCUCAUGGAUUGAGACUAUUUUUACUUACUUUGUCAUAGACCAGUCUGUGUUGUAAAUUCUAAUUUAUAUAAUAUUUACUUUUUGCAAUUUCAUGAAGUGUUGCAAAAUAAGUAUCAGAACAAGAACGUACUUUGUUUGAUGCUUAUAUUGCAUAAUACAACGAGCCUUAUCUCCAUAAGUGUUUGUUGAAUAAAUAAAAUAAUGAAACAGAGUAAGUCACAAAACUGAAGUAAAAGUGUAGGUUUUGUCACAAGCUAAAAUUGAAUGGGACUGAAGUAGCAAAAUGUUGAGCUGUAAGUACUUGCUGGAUAAGCAGAAUUGACUUCUUAGUUAAUUAUUUUGUGCUAAACGUCUGUGAUCUUCUUCCCAGCUACUGGCUCUUCUUUCUGUUUUUGUUUUGAUAAUUUAUUUUCUUUUUUGUAAAUGCUAUUGCAUUUGAAAUGCAUCAUUAUAUAAUAAUGUUUAAAUGAAACAAAAAUCAUAGUCACACCUGUAAUGAAAGUUCUGGAAAUGAAACGCUUUGUUUUUUGAACAGAUCAAUUACUCACAGAAACAGCAACCUUGA